CCCCAGUCUGGCCUUUUCCUGUUAAAGAGGAUGUUUAACUUUGUGAGAUGUCUUAUAGUGAAAUGUUAUUUGGUCAGUAAUAUUUGUUUGUGAGGGAAAUGAGCUCAAACAGAAGAAAGAACAUGACUGAACGAGUUGAGUUGAGUGAAGCUGCUGCUGUUUUAACAAAGGUCACUGUGUGUGACAUGCAAAUUCAGCUCCAACAUAGUUUAACAUCAGAGUCCUGCUUUACAUGGCCUGAAUAAGCGCACAUCGGCAUCUCUCUGUGCAGAGUUCCUGUGUUCUUCUUGUGCAUGCAGAGAUCCUCGUUUCCUCCUAAAGUUCAAAAACUUUCAUGUUGGGUUCGUUGAGGGAAAGUCGGAAUGGUCAGAUGCCUUCCAGCGACUUCUGCAUCCUGUCAUCUCCAAACUUGUCCUGGCUUUUCUCUGGAUCAAAACAGCUGAGGGGAGAGCUGGUCCUCCAUAUUUUCCCCUCUGGGCCAGACAUCAGUGAUGACGUCAGCCACAAACCAAAGCGCCGAUAAAUGCUGGACGCAACAUCAUCUCGUCCUAAAGCUGGAUGGAUGCCAUCAACCUGAGGUAGCGGACUGAGCUGAACAUGAGGCUGGCUGCAGAGGGCGACAUUGCUGGAGGAACUGACUGGGGAAAGCUCAGAGCUGGAGGAUCAUUAUGAGUCACAGAAGGAUGAUGUCAUCAUGCUGGAGAAAAACCACCAGGAGAUAAGAUAAGAAGCAUAAAACAGUGCAACAAUUUCAACCUCUUAUCAUUCUGUGGGCCGGCUCUGGUCAAUUUGGCGCCCAAGGCAAGAUUUCAGGUGUUGCCCCCUUGUGCAGUUUUCUGACUCUCACUACCAAAUACUUUUGUUUUUAAUAUUAUUUUUUGUUGUCCAGCAGAGAUGGGGACUCGUGACUCGGACUUAGACUGAAGUCACACUUAAGUCCCUGCUGUUAGAGACUUGGACUUGGAGCCAAAACUUGAGACUUGACUUGGAUUUGCAAAAAAAGACUUCCGCACAUCUCUGUAGUCCAGUAAACAGUAUAAAUAAUAUGAAACAGAAUACCAGACAUUUUACCUCAUACCUGCCGACAUCUGCUGACAUCAUGAGGAACUCCUGUUCAUGAUAGCAAGCAGCUGUGGAGUGAAGCAGUUCUAGGGGCAUCCAGGGGUUAAAGCUCUACUCAAAACUCUGCAUUUUCCAUUUGAAGUGCAUUUUACUCAAUUCUUUGGAUUAAUAAAACAUAAAAACAGUAUUUUAUGAAGGUAAAACACUGAAAACCAGACGUUAACCUGUACUUUAUAKUAUCCUUGUUUUGUUUUAUGACACACCGAGCACCAGUAGUUAGUCUUGACUGCAUCAUGUUUUAUCAUGAAACAUCUGCAUCAUAUAACCCAGCAGCUGUGAGAAACCCKCAGAACAAGUUACCUUCAUAAAUCUGAGGAACCAGUGAUUAUUCUACAGACUAAAUCAACUAUGCUUAAAAAAAGAGUUAUCAAAUAUGAUUUUUCAUGUCCCAUUUGUGUCGCCCCCUAGAUGGACUGCACCCUUAGCAUUUGYCUACACUGCCCACACCACGGGCCACUGCUGUUGUUACCAAAUCUAAUUAGAUUUCCUGCAUGAACUCUGCUUUCCCCUGAUAAACCAGAGGAAAUACUGUUACUGUUUUCAAAAACAUCUCUGCUGCCUGACGCUUUACACGCUGCCCCUCUUCUCUCUGCCCAUUUCCAUGUWUUCUUCUCUUCCUCCAUUAGCUCAUUGUUUCUGUUUGCCCAACACCUUUAACCCACAGAUUAAAGAUUAAAACAUGUWAUCCAGCACACCAGCACCUCGUUGAAUCGAUGAGGCUCUGAUCGCCAAGAAUCACAGAGAUGUGGAGCUGUGCUUCCAGAACAAGCAGAUCCAGCGGCGCUGCGGAUCCAGACUCACCUCGUUGUACAGAGCCUGACGACUUAUUUCCAGAACCU
Austrofundulus limnaeus is the source of this 1961-nucleotide long non-coding RNA. RefSeq lists it as uncharacterized. The record is from RefSeq and is a predicted model, not a curated record. Lineage: Eukaryota; Metazoa; Chordata; Actinopteri; Cyprinodontiformes; Rivulidae. The transcript is spliced from 3 exons.